GAGUGUGGAGAGAGAGAGAAAGUAUAUUGUGUAAUAACUUGGACAAAUAGAAGGGUAUAUUUUAUUAUUAUGAGACACCUUGUGAAAAUGAAAAGCUGUCAUUAAAAUGCAUUGCAUAAGAAACUAUUUAUUCUAAGAACUACUAUUCCUGAUCCCAAAGAGAUGUUCCAUAUUUCUGUUCAUACAACCUGGAAUGGCUUUUCAAAAUCAUGUAUUAAGGCAAUUU
Molecule: long non-coding RNA, 226 nt
Filed under: Physcomitrium patens
Lineage: Eukaryota; Viridiplantae; Streptophyta; Bryopsida; Funariales; Funariaceae
Description: long non-coding RNA (PPAT_LNC010167)
Source: RNAcentral